RNAcentral lists this ribosomal RNA (502 nucleotides) under uncultured bacterium. RNAcentral's name for it is "partial 16S ribosomal RNA". It matches the Rfam family "Bacterial small subunit ribosomal RNA", at positions 28 to 523 of the family's 1533-position model. The record is from RNAcentral.
GAUGAACGCUAGCGGCAGGCCUAACACAUGCAAGUCGAGGGGCAGCACAGAAACAGCAAUGUUUUGGUGGCGACCGGCGGACGGGUGCGUAACGCGUAUGCAACCUACCUUUAACAGGGGGAUAACGGAGAGAAAUUUCCACUAAUACCCCAUAACAUCGAUCAAGGCAUCUUGAUUGGUUGAAAACUCCGGUGGUUAAAGAUGGGCAUGCGUUGUAUUAGGUAGUUGGUGAGGUAAUGGCUCACCAAGCCUACGAUACAUAGGGGGACUGAGAGGGUAGCCCACCACACUGGUACUGAGACACGGACCGGACUCCUACGGGAGGCAGCAGUGAGGAAUAUUGGUCAAUGGGGGCAACCCUGAACCAGCCAUGCCGCGUGCAGGAAGACGGUUCUAUGAGUUGUAAACUGCUUUUAAACAGGGAUAAAGCACAGUAUGUAUACUGUGUUGAAGGUACUGUAAGAAUAAGGAUCGGCUAACUCCGUGCCAGCCGCCGCGGUAA